AUUGAACGCUGGCGGCAUGCCUUACACAUGCAAGUCGAACGGCAGCAUGGAGAGCUUGCUCUCUGAUGGCGAGUGGCGAACGGGUGAGUAAAGCAUCGGAACGUACCGUGUAGUGGGGGAUAACGUAGCGAAAGUUACGCUAAUACCGCAUACGCACUGAGGUGGAAAGCAGGGGAUCGUAAGACCUUGCGCUAUACGAGCGGCCGAUGUCAGAUUAGCUAGUUGGUAGGGUAAAGGCCUACCAAGGCGACGAUCUGUAGCGGGUCUGAGAGGAGGGUCGGCCACACUGGGACUGAGACACGGCCCAGACUCCUACGGGAGGCAGCAGUGGGGAAUUUUGGACAAUGGGGGCAACCCUGAUCCGGCCAUGCCGCGUGAGUGAAGAAGGCCUUCGGGUUGUAAAGCUCUUUCGGCCGGGAAGAAAUCGCACAGGCUAAUACCCUGCGUGGAUGACGGUACCGGCAUAAGAAGCACCGGCUAACUACGUGCCAGCAGCCGCAGUAA
This 504-nucleotide ribosomal RNA is filed under the name uncultured bacterium. RNAcentral describes it as "partial 16S ribosomal RNA". It matches the Rfam family "Bacterial small subunit ribosomal RNA", at positions 29 to 523 of the family's 1533-position model. The record is from RNAcentral.